RNAcentral lists this RNase P RNA (438 nucleotides) under Terriglobus roseus DSM 18391. RNAcentral's name for it is "Bacterial RNase P class A". It matches the Rfam family "Bacterial RNase P class A". From Rfam's summary of the family: Ribonuclease P (RNase P) is a ubiquitous endoribonuclease, found in archaea, bacteria and eukarya as well as chloroplasts and mitochondria. Its best characterised activity is the generation of mature 5'-ends of tRNAs by cleaving the 5'-leader elements of precursor-tRNAs. The record is from Rfam by way of RNAcentral. Lineage: Bacteria; Pseudomonadati; Acidobacteriota; Terriglobia; Terriglobales; Acidobacteriaceae.
CAGGCGGACCGAACGAUCGCUGCUGCUCUACGCACGUUUGUUAGAGCAGGGGAGGAAAGUCCGGACUCCAGGGGGCAGUGUGCCGGGUAACGCCCGGGAUCGGCGCUUCAAGGCGACGAGACGGCCAGUGCCACAGAGAAAAUACCGCCGCAGCGCAAGCUGCGGUAAGGGUGAAAAGGUGCGGUAAGAGCGCACCGCGCCGGCAGUAAUGCAGGCGGCAUGGUAAACCCCACACGGAGCAAGACCAAAUAGGCGGGAAGACUGCCUCUGCGCAAGCAGAAGCACGAUGCGUGCCGGCCCGGCGCGCCAGACUCGCGGGUAGGUUGCUGGAGCCGUGCAGCAAUGCACGGCCUAGAGGAAUGAUCGUUCAGCGCAGAAACCAAAGCGAGAGCAAUGGCGGUGCGUAGACAGAAUCCGGCUUACAGGUCCGCCUGCAAA